RNAcentral lists this ribosomal RNA (256 nucleotides) under uncultured bacterium. Its description in RNAcentral is "partial 16S ribosomal RNA". It matches the Rfam family "Bacterial small subunit ribosomal RNA", at positions 524 to 776 of the family's 1533-position model. The record is from RNAcentral.
UACGUAGGGUGCGAGCGUUGUCCGGAAUUACUGGGCGUAAAGAGCUCGUAGGUGGUUUGUCGCGUUGUUCGUGAAAACUCACAGCUUAACUGUGGGCGUGCGGGCGAUACGGGCAGACUGGAGUACUGCAGGGGAGACUGGAAUUCCUGGUGUAGCGGUGGAAUGCGCAGAUAUCAGGGAGGAACACCGGUGGCGAAGGCGGGUCUCUGGGCAGUGAACUGACGCUGGAGGAGCGAAAGCGUGGGGAGCGAACAGG